RNAcentral lists this ribosomal RNA (253 nucleotides) under uncultured bacterium. RNAcentral's name for it is "partial 16S ribosomal RNA". It matches the Rfam family "Bacterial small subunit ribosomal RNA", at positions 524 to 776 of the family's 1533-position model. The record is from RNAcentral.
UACAGAGGUGGCAAGCGUUGUUCGGAAUUACUGGGCGUAAAGGGCGCGUAGGCGGCCUUCUAAGUCAGACGUGAAAUCCCCCGGCUUAACCUGGGAACUGCGUCUGAUACUGGAAGGCUUGAGUGCGGGAGAGGGAUGUGGAAUUCCAGGUGUAGUGGUGAAAUGCGUAGAUAUCUGGAGGAACACCGGUGGCGAAGGCGGCAUCCUGGACCGACACUGACGCUGAGGCGCGAAAGCUAGGGUAGCAAACGGG